RNAcentral lists this ribosomal RNA (545 nucleotides) under uncultured bacterium. RNAcentral describes it as "bacterial SSU rRNA". It matches the Rfam family "Bacterial small subunit ribosomal RNA", at positions 777 to 1320 of the family's 1533-position model. The record is from RNAcentral.
AAUAGAUACCCGGGUAGUCCACCCCGUAAACGUUGGGAACUAGUUGUGGGGUCCAUUCCACGGAUUCCGUGACGCAGCUAACGCAUUAAGUUCCCCGCCUGGGGAGUACGGCCGCAAGGCUAAAACUCAAAGGAAUUGACGGGGACCCGCACAAGCGGCGGAGCAUGCGGAUUAAUUCGAUGCAACGCGAAGAACCUUACCAAGGCUUGACAUAUACGGGAACACUCUGGAAACAGAGGAUUCUUUGGACACUCGUAUACAGGUGGUGCAUGGUUGUCGUCAGCUCGUGUCGUGAGAUGUUGGGUUAAGUCCCGCAACGAGCGCAACCCUCGUUCUAUGUUGCCAGCACGUUAUGGUGGGAACUCAUGGGAUACCGCCGGGGUCAACUCGGAGGAAGGUGGGGAUGACGUCAAAUCAUCAUGCCCCUUAUGUCUUGGGCUUCACGCAUGCUACAAUGGCCGGUACAAAGGGCUGCAAUACCGUGAGGUGGAGCGAAUCCCAAAAAGCCGGUCCCAGUUCGGAUUGAGGUCUGCAACUCGACCUCA